Molecule: small RNA, 63 nt
Filed under: Klebsiella pneumoniae
Lineage: Bacteria; Pseudomonadati; Pseudomonadota; Gammaproteobacteria; Enterobacterales; Enterobacteriaceae
Also listed under: 1 other name
Description: partial RtT sRNA
Rfam family: RtT RNA
About the family: This family represents a bacterial cis-regulatory element known as RtT RNA. The exact function of RtT is unknown although it is thought that it may be involved in changing the cellular response in relation to amino acid starvation.
Source: RNAcentral
GCCGCAGGCAACGGCCCGAAGGGCGAGGCGCUUUAGCGCCGAGUAAUCCUUCCCCCACCACUG